AGCAGCCGCGGUAAUUCCAGCUCCAAUAGCGUAUAUUAGUGUUGUUGCGGUUAAAAAGCUCGUAGUUGAAUUUCGGGAUUGGGAUAUAUCGAUCAUGGCUUUAGGGACAUGAAUCGGUGUGUGGUCAAUUCUCACCUUCUGGUGAAUCGGGAUGCUCUCGGGUGUUUCGGUGAACCAGGACUUUUACUUUGAAAAAAUUAGAGUGUUUAAAGCGGGCAUUUUUGCUUGAAUAUAUUAGCAUGGAAUAAUAAAAUAGGACGAUGGUUCUAUUUUGUUGGUUUUAGGACCACGUAAAGAUUAAUAGGGAUAGUUGGG
RNAcentral lists this ribosomal RNA (315 nucleotides) under uncultured Glomeromycotina. Its description in RNAcentral is "SSU rRNA". It matches the Rfam family "Eukaryotic small subunit ribosomal RNA", at positions 569 to 886 of the family's 1831-position model. The record is from RNAcentral. Lineage: Eukaryota; Fungi; Glomeromycota.